UACGUAGGGCGCAAGCGUUAUCCGGAAUUAUUGGGCGUAAAGAGCUCGUAGGCGGUUUGUCGCGUCUGCCGUGAAAGUCCGGGGCUCAACUCCGGAUCUGCGGUGGGUACGGGCAGACUAGAGUGAUGUAGGGGAGACUGGAAUUCCUGGUGUAGCGGUGAGAUGCGCAGAUAUCAGGAGGAACACCGGUGGCGAAGGCGGGUCUCUGGGCCGAUACUGACGCUGAGGAGCGAAAGCGUGGGGAGCGAACAGG
Molecule: ribosomal RNA, 253 nt
Filed under: uncultured bacterium
Lineage: Bacteria
Description: partial 16S ribosomal RNA
Rfam family: Bacterial small subunit ribosomal RNA
Source: RNAcentral